Molecule: small nucleolar RNA, 134 nt
Organism: Arvicanthis niloticus (Nile rat)
Lineage: Eukaryota; Metazoa; Chordata; Mammalia; Rodentia; Muridae
Product: small nucleolar RNA SNORA17
Source: RefSeq, a predicted model, not a curated record
UCUGCCCUUAGAGGCUUUGCAGAUGUGGCUUUUUGUGUCACAUGUGCAUCAGUAGGAGGCAGAGAGGAAAGCACCCCAUGUCCACACUCAGUGUUCUGACCUGUGAACAUCUGAAUAAUUAGUAGCAUAACAUU